AUACGUAGGUGGCAAGCGUUAUCCGGAAUUACUGGGCGUAAAGCGUACGCAGGCGGCCAGUCAAGUCUGACGUGAAAGCUCCUGGCUUAACUGGGAGAGGUCGUUGGAAACUGAUUGGCUUGAGGCAAUGAGAGGGACACGGAAUUCCCGGUGUAGUGGUGGAAUGCGUAGAUAUCGGGAGGAACACCAGUGGCGAAAGCGGUGUCCUGGCAUUGACCUGACGCUCAUGUGCGAAAGCGUGGGGAGCGAACGGGAUUAGAAACCCCGGUAGUCC
This 274-nucleotide ribosomal RNA is filed under the name uncultured bacterium. RNAcentral describes it as "partial 16S ribosomal RNA". It matches the Rfam family "Bacterial small subunit ribosomal RNA", at positions 523 to 796 of the family's 1533-position model. The record is from RNAcentral.